This 363-nucleotide small RNA is filed under the name Histoplasma capsulatum. RNAcentral's name for it is "hypothetical RNA". RNAcentral also lists the same sequence under 1 other name. Lineage: Eukaryota; Fungi; Ascomycota; Eurotiomycetes; Onygenales; Ajellomycetaceae. The record is from RNAcentral.
UGUCAUCUUUGCUAUUUAACUAGAACUUGUGGCCCUGUUGGACCGUGAUAUAAAGUAUCGAUGAUACCGAUAAGUUGUAGAUUGAAUUCUAGUGGGGGUUCAAUGGCGAUGGUGGUUGUAGAUGAACGACAAGAUAUCAACCCAAAUCGAGCUACAUCGCGAGCAAUUCUCCUGGGACACAAACAACACCAACACACCUUGGACGAGCUGUUUUGUGGACGAUAGAUGGGAUGGGCUUGUCAUCAGACACCAAGGUGCAACUCAUUAGCUAUCACUACGAGAUAUGGCGACUUGCGGGGUUGUGGAGGAACUAUAUCGUGGCGGCUCUUCAGGUGUAGUUAACUAGUGGUUACUGGUACUUUC